RNAcentral lists this long non-coding RNA (3104 nucleotides) under Capsicum annuum. Its description in RNAcentral is "long non-coding RNA (CANN_LNC018725)". The record is from RNAcentral. Lineage: Eukaryota; Viridiplantae; Streptophyta; Magnoliopsida; Solanales; Solanaceae.
AUCAAUAUUAAUAAGAUGUUAUGACUGCUUAGACAGGGUUGAUUUAGACAGAAGACAUAGUUUCGUGGAUUCACUGAUUAGUUAUCAUAAUUGUAUAUAUUUUGUAUCCAAGUAAUUUUUUCAAGAAAACAAAUAUUUUGUGCACAGGUGAUAUUUGAGGUGUAUAUAUAAUUGGAAGGGUGCUGUAAGAAAGGAACUCUCUCGCAAAGGGCUCCUAUUCAGUGGAUGACCUAGGAUUUCCAUUGAGGGGGUUGAAAAAAAAAACAUGCUAAUAGUGCGGACACAGAUCGGUUCAAAUAUGAAAAGGUCGGAUCAAAUAUAUAUAUAUAUAACAAAGAAGAAGAGGUUUUAUGUGGAGCAAUGAGCUUUUAAGUCAGAAUUCCAAUAUCAAAGUUAAACACUAUUUUCUUGAUUUGUGGGCUUUGAUCACCAUUGAAUUUUUCUCUUGGUACUAUAAAAAAAAUAGUUUGAUAAGCAUUCACUCAAACUCUAUUCUAACAAUUACACAAUCCGAAAAAUAGGGUCAUAGGGAUGUAAAUAUGGAGGGUUAGGAUUGGUGGGGCAAGCCAAAAAUGGAAGCUUUUAUACAAAUAAACCAGUAAACAACAAAUACCAGCAUGUCAGCAGCAGCAACCAGCAAGAAACACAAUCCAAAGUGAACGAGAAGAGAGAGCAAAAAGGGGAAAGAGCGCAAGAGACCAAGAAAGCGUCAGAUAGGAUUUUUUAAUUUUUUUGACUUUGUAAUUAGGGAUGUGAUAUAAAUCGAGACUGUCUUUUUUUCCAGAAAACGAGGCCGUUUCAUUUAUGUAGAAAAAAAUACAAAAAGCCUAAAGCUAAAUAUUGAAAAAUUGAUGCCGGCAAGAUUCGAACCUGCGCGUUCCUGCUAAUCCCUCAACCCCUUAGCUACUGAACCAUGUCCUUGACUUGUGUUGAGGGGUUUCAACAUUAAAUAAAUACACAUAAAAUAAAAGUUUGAUCCUAUAUAUCCGCCCUGCUCCUUAUCGUAUACCCCUUUGUACAGGGGAUCUUCCCAUUGUCUACUAGAUAUAUUUUAUCAACCUCACUAAUGCAAUUCCUUUUACAAAUAUAUAUUUCAUCUUACAUCAUGUUGCUCCUUUUCUUCUGUUAUAGAAUGAACAGAAAUUACUCCUAGUAAUGUACAUAGCCAUAUUUAGGCAGCAGAUCUAUAGAAAUGCUCUUUUAUUUCUUUUUAAGUCAGCACACAAUCUAUUGUAUUUAUACAUUGCUUACCUACUGGAAUAAGAUAUUUUCUUCCACUUGAUUACAUGGUAUCAGAGCCAUAGGGCAAGGGCUCGAUUCAUAUACAAAAUUGGGAAUUCGUCCACAGUUAUUGGAUAAAGGGAUUCGAUCAUUUGGGACACCUCUAGGGAGUGACUGGAUUGUCCUCUAUUAUCUUGUCACCCAUAUUAAAUCAACCAAAGUUGACCUUUAAUUUGAUUUCUAUUAGCAGAGUUACUAGAGACCUGAAUUGGUAUAUCUUGUCUCUUCCUGGAUCAUUAUUUGUUUCGUGAUCUUACAACAAAUCAGGUUAUUGGUAAAGGACAUUUAUCACAUGAUCUCUAUCAUGGUCUAUUGCCUGUUCUAUUGUCGUCUUCUUCCUCCAAGACCAUCCUGUGGUUGAUUCCAGCACUCUCAACACCAGAACUCCUUGAGAACUGCUCUGGCGUGUGAUAACCAGUUCCAUCUUGUGACAUCCCUGAAAAUUUUGGAGUAGAGAGAUUUACUAAAUCUAUCCUUGAGUUAUCCUGAAGACAGCUUGAAACAGACAACAGAGCUUUUCUCACAGUUGAAAGGGUUCCAGCAAUCUGCACACAAGGAUAUUCAGUGAACGAAAAAACUAUAUCCAGAGUAACAUAAUCAAAAACAAAACAGAGAUAAUCGAUGAAAUGAACAUAAAUAAUUCUCAAAUAAAGCUAAGAAAUCAACCCAGCAUGUGCCUCUGCUAUGAUGACACAUUUCGUAUAAUCAUCCCAGUAUUUCUUUUUUUUUUAAGUAAUACUUGUAACAUAAUUAACUCAGUAUAAAGUAGAGAGAUUGGACUUUUGGAGCAUACUUAAUUAACUCAGUAUAAAAUAGAGGGAUUGGACUUUUGGAGCAUAUUUGGUUUCCGGUAAUUGUUUAAAAGGAUCGACUCUCCAGCAUCUUGUUUCAUCAACCAAAUCAGCUUGCUCUAGUGAUGCAAUUAGAAAAGAAUAAAGAUGUAGAAGAAACUGUAGGAUUAGGAGAUCGAGGAGUUUGGUGAUAUUGUUCUACUGUACCUAAUCAACUUUUGAGGUGAGGGGAGCCAAACUUGGAGAUGGAAGGAUCAACUGAUAGUAAAAUCUCUGUUAUUCUAUCAAUAAGUACCUAGCCAAGAGAGAUGCAAUGGACUUUCUCCUUUACAUCAGCAUUAACAGCUGCAAGUAAUGUGGGUCCUUCUGUCUCGUGCAUGCACCUCCUUGCCUCUGAGUUAAGAGUCCAAAGGUCAACCUUUGGAUGUUGUCAAGUGGCACUUUGGUUAUGAAGGUUGAUUAAAUCAGUUGGUACAUUCCCUCCAACUCAUCAAUAUUAAUAAGAUGUUAUGACUGCUUAGACAGGGUUGAUUUAGACAGAAGACAUAGUUUCGUGGAUUCACUGAUUAGUUAUCAUAAUUGUAUAUAUUUUGUAUCCAAGUAAUUUUUUCAAGAAAACAAAUAUUUUGUGCACAGGUGAUAUUUGAGGUGUAUAUAUAAUUGGAAGGGUGCUGUAAGAAAGGAACUCUCUCGCAAAGGGCUCCUAUUCAGUGGAUGACCUAGGAUUUCCAUUGAGGGGGUUGAAAAAAAAAACAUGCUAAUAGUGCGGACACAGAUCGGUUCAAAUAUGAAAAGGUCGGAUCAAAUAUAUAUAUAUAUAACAAAGAAGAAGAGGUUUUAUGUGGAGCAAUGAGCUUUUAAGUCAGAAUUCCAAUAUCAAAGUUAAACACUAUUUUCUUGAUUUGUGGGCUUUGAUCACCAUUGAAUUUUUCUCUUGGUACUAUAAAAAAAAUAGUUUGAUAAGCAUUCACUCAAACUCUAUUCUAACAAUUACACAAUCCGAAAAAUAGGGUCAUAGGGAUGUAAAUAUGG